This 433-nucleotide ribosomal RNA is filed under the name uncultured bacterium. Its description in RNAcentral is "partial 16S ribosomal RNA". It matches the Rfam family "Bacterial small subunit ribosomal RNA", at positions 29 to 507 of the family's 1533-position model. The record is from RNAcentral.
AACGAACGCUGGCGGCAUGCCUAACACAUGCAAGUCGAACGAGACCUUCGGGUCUAGUGGCGCACGGGUGCGUAACGCGUGGGAAUCUGCCCUUGGGUUCGGAAUAACAGUUGGAAACGACUGCUAAUACCGGAUGAUGACGUAAGUCCAAAGAUUUAUCGCCCAAGGAUGAGCCCGCGUAGGAUUAGCUAGUUGGUGAGGUAAAGGCUCACCAAGGCGACGAUCCUUAGCUGGUCUGAGAGGAUGAUCAGCCACACUGGGACUGAGACGCGGCCCAGACUCCUACGGGAGGCAGGAGUGGGGAAUAGUGGACAAUGGGCGGAGGCCUGAUCCAGCAAUGCCGCGUGAGUGAUGAAGGCCUUAGGGUUGUAAAGCGCUUUUACCCGGGAUGAUAAUGACAGUACCGGGAGAAUAAGCUCCGGCUAACUCCGUG